Molecule: ribosomal RNA, 468 nt
Filed under: uncultured bacterium
Lineage: Bacteria
Description: partial 16S ribosomal RNA
Rfam family: Bacterial small subunit ribosomal RNA
Source: RNAcentral
GACGAACGCUGGCGGCGUGCUUAACACAUGCAAGUCGAACGGAAAGGCCCUGCUUUUGUGGGGUGCUCGAGUGGCGAACGGGUGAGUAACACGUGAGUAACCUGCCCUUGACUUUGGGAUAACUUCAGGAAACUGGGGCUAAUACCGGAUAGGAGCUCCUGCUGCAUGGUGGGGGUUGGAAAGUUUCGGCGGUUGGGGAUGGACUCGCGGCUUAUCAGCUUGUUGGUGGGGUAGUGGCUUACCAAGGCUUUGACGGGUAGCCGGCCUGAGAGGGUGACCGGCCACAUUGGGACUGAGAGACGGCCCAGACUCCUACGGGAGGCAGCAGUGGGGAAUAUUGCACAAUGGGCGGAAGCCUGAUGCAGCAACGCCGCGUGCGGGAUGACGGCCUUCGGGCUGUAAACCGCUUUCGCCUGUGACGAAGCGUGAGUGACGGUAAUGGGUAAAGAAGCACCGGCUAACUACGUG